AGCGGGGUAGAGCAGUUUGGUAGCUCGUCAGGCUCAUAACCUGAAGGUCGCAGGUUCAAAUCCUGCCCCCGCAA
RNAcentral lists this transfer RNA (74 nucleotides) under Endomicrobium sp. Its description in RNAcentral is "tRNA-Met". It matches the Rfam family "tRNA". From Rfam's summary of the family: Transfer RNA (tRNA) molecules are approximately 80 nucleotides in length. The record is from RNAcentral. Lineage: Bacteria; Pseudomonadati; Elusimicrobiota; Endomicrobiia; Endomicrobiales; Endomicrobiaceae.